GAUGAACGCUGGCGGCGUGCCUAAUACAUGCAAGUCGAGCGAACAGACGAGGAGCUUGCUCCUCUGACGUUAGCGGCGGACGGGUGAGUAACACGUGGAUAACCUACCUAUAAGACUGGGAUAACUUCGGGAAACCGGAGCUAAUACCGGAUAAUAUAUUGAACCGCAUGGUUCAAUAGUGAAAGACGGUUUUGCUGUCACUUAUAGAUGGAUCCGCGCCGCAUUAGCUAGUUGGUAAGGUAACGGCUUACCAAGGCAACGAUGCGUAGCCGACCUGAGAGGGUGAUCGGCAACACUGGAACUGAGACACGGUCCAGACACCUACGGGAGGCAGCAGUAGGGAAGAUUACGCAAUGGGCGAAAGACUGACGGAGCAAUGCCGAGGGAGUGAUGAAGGUCUUCGGAUCGGAAAACUCUGUUAUGAGGGAAGAACAAAAGUGUAAGUAAAUCUGCAGGUCGUGACGGGACCGAAUCAGAAAGCAAAGGCGAACUACGUG
This 497-nucleotide ribosomal RNA is filed under the name uncultured bacterium. RNAcentral's name for it is "partial 16S ribosomal RNA". It matches the Rfam family "Bacterial small subunit ribosomal RNA", at positions 28 to 507 of the family's 1533-position model. The record is from RNAcentral.